Astyanax mexicanus (Mexican tetra) is the source of this 409-nucleotide long non-coding RNA. RefSeq lists it as uncharacterized. The record is from RefSeq and is a predicted model, not a curated record. The transcript is spliced from 3 exons. NCBI's taxonomy places the organism in Eukaryota, Metazoa, Chordata, Actinopteri, Characiformes, Acestrorhamphidae.
GCCGCUCGCUGCAGCCUGUAGGAAGGCGGAGUUGGACAUCCAACCCCGCCCACAUCCAACUCCGCCCAUGUCCAACUCCGCCUUACGUCUAAAGCAACACCCACCUUACGUCCGCCACGAACGCCUACAUUUACUCCCGGUAAAUAGGAAUUGUAGCCGAGAAAGCAGCUAAAGCAUCUAUCUGAUUUAUAUCUCCGGUUAUGGCGCAUCCAACACAUGUCCAGGCCACUCCUGACCCUUCACGGUUUGGCCAGUGUGGUGUUUUCAAAUGCCCCUGCUUCAGUUUUGACACUGACCAGCGAUUUAAUAACAGCCUACAUCUACAAAACCAUAUCAAACAAGCAGUCGAGAAUAACGGAAAGUUCAGCGUGUUGAACGUGUGACUGAUGAAGGAGAUAGAAUGGGCAAC